GCUUUCUCUCUCCUCUCUGUUCUCUCCUUCAUACUUUUCACAGAGACGGAUGAUUGAGAAAGCGAAGAUGAAUGGUCUCUCUCUCUUUUUUCCUUUAUCCUUCAGAAAAAGAGAGGCUCCGUCAAGCUGGUCGGAUUUGUUACCGGCGCUUGACUCCCGAUGGUCGGGCUAUGACUCUGGCAAGUGGUGGCUCUUAAAGCACUAUCUUGGCCGGCUUCCGUCUCCGGCAAGCGGUGGUUCCCAUUAACACCGUAUUUUCCGGCUUUUAUUUUGAGAUUCAUCUCUCAUCUCCGAUGGAUUUCAAAUCUGUUUUAUACAGUUUUCUUCUUGUGUUUUUUUAAUCUUUCUUUGUUUCUGUUCAUCAUUUCUUAGUUUCCUUCGAUUCGAUUUUGCUAAGGGUGGUUUUUGAUUACUGUGAUCUUUUCCCAUUCAUUUGGGUGGCCCCAUCUUCAAGCUAAACUUUAUCUUUAAAGAUGGUUUUUAAAAAUUGUUAGAUCUUCAGUUUUCUUUGUUCUAAAUGGACCUUAGUUAGAUCGAUUUGAUUUCUUUGAAACGGUGUAGUGGUUUAUGGCUACUGAUUUCGAGCUUCUCAGAUGCUUAGCUGUUCUAUUCCUGAGCUUCCUGUUCCGGUACGUUCCGGUGGAUCUCCGGUUAGAAAUUCCGGCUUCGACUUGAAAAUCGGUGAAGAAAGGGUUGUCUCUGCUCUUCCGCCACGCGUCCAUCUACCGCACGCGUCUGAUGCGUUGGCUGUGAGCUGUCUCGUUGACUGCUGAGCCUCUUUCUUUCUAUGGGCCUUUAUGUUAGUUGGGCUUGCGGUUUGCCCUAGUUGUUAGUUAGUUAGUUUGGCCUUUCUGUUUGGGCCUUUAUCUUUUAUAUUCUUGUACUUUGUUGGCCUUUUGGCUUUUAAUAAAACGAGAUGGCAAAAAAAAAAAAAAAUUCAAUCCCGUGAUAGACUGAUAGUGUAUACUAAUAAUCCAAUCUGGUUCACAUGUUUCUACAUAAAACUUUAGUAAUAUACACAUACAUGCACAUUCACUUUGACACCACAGACGCAUUGAAUUAUAGUAUAUAAAUGUUCUUCUUGCGUGUUGGUAUCACCGCAUAAUUUCUGCCCAAUGGCGUUUAUGGCAAAACCAAUAAUGCGGUCAAGAACAAAAUUGAAAACUUCACAAGGCCCAAAACCCAUACAACAAGAACUGUGUUUUGACAGGACCACAUAAUGGCACUAUCGAAAAUAGAGCCAGUAAGCGAUACUCCCUCCGUUUUUUAUUAUAAGUCGUUUUAGAGAAACUUUUUUGUUCCAAAUUAUAUGUCGUUUUCGGUUUUCUAUGUAAAAUUUAUUAAUAAUUAAUGUUGUAUGACCAAUAGUAAUAUAUCUUCUAUUUUUCUAUUGGUUGAAUUGUGGUUAGGUAAAUAAUUAAUGAUGUUUUUGUUUAGAAAAUAUAAGAAAUUAAUAGUUUUCUUAAUCUACGUGCAUAGCUGUAAAACGACUUAUAUUAAAAAACGGAGGGAGUACCUAAUAAGAGGCACAAUCCCAGAUGCCUAUGUUUUCACUACCCCCGACACAAGUUUUCAGCAUUAAUAUUUUACCAAUCAGAAAAUUCUUCUGUUAUUCUUUAACACCUUAUCUCUAAUCCAACCAUUCAUUCUAAUAUGAAAAGGACGAUUCUAACCCCAAUACGAAAUCAAAUCUAUGGAGAGACGAAGCAUACGAUUACGCAAAAUAGAUAAACAUAAUGAACAAAACAAAAGCAUUAAUUAAUACUAUCCGAGAUGUUUUCCGUUUUAUUUCACCAAGUCUUAUGUCAAAAGGGUGAAAUUAAACUCAACAAAAGUCAUAAGUUAACCGACCCGGUUUACUGAUACCGGAGAUUCCACAAAAGACAAACUACAAAAGCAUAAAAAAAGGAUAAUAGAAGGUUUGUUCAGAAACCGACGAACGAUCAGAUCCGACGACGACGACGACAGUUAGACCACCUCUUUGUUUUCUUCCUUGUCAUCCUUGUCCACCGGAGAAACAAAGAUCCAGGUGAAACCGAACGGGUCAGUCACCUUUCCCUUCACCCAACCCUCAGCUUCCCCCUCCGAGACCUCCUCCACUUUCACAGCUCCGGCGGCUACAGCUUUCGCAACGGCAGCUUCCACGUCAUCAGUUUCGAGGAGUGCAGACACAGUCCCCGUCUUCACACUGUUCAAACGUAACACAAUCCAAGUCAAAUCCACCAGAAAAAAAAACAUAACACUACUAAUACUCAUCCUAUAACAAGUUAAAACUAGAUCUAAAGCGAAAGACAAGACAAAACCCUAAACAAGAAGAUCUACUCAAGGAACAGUAAAAGGAGGAGGAGGAGAAGGAAGAGCUUACUUAGAGCCAGAGUGAACAGAGACGUCGGAGACAACGACGGUAGCACCAGCGAGGUUAAUCUCAGCGGAGACAACGUGAGGGAGCUCUUGGUCAGCCUUACGCUUAGGGUAAAGAGAGUGUCCAGUCUCCGUCGCACCAAACACAUCCUUGUAGAAAGCGACAGCGUCACCGACCUUCUGAGCCUCCACGAUCAGCUGGGGCUUGUAGGCAGUGAAGGUAACAGACUUCUCCACCACUGUAGCACCAUUCGCAGCAGCAGCAACACCUUCCUGAGCCAUCGUUUGUGUUUGAGAGAAAGAUAUGAAGAAAGAUUUGUUCGUUAGAGAAGAAGUGCUGUGAAGGAAGAAUGGAGAGAGGGGGGUAGCUGAUGGUAGAUAUUUAUUGUGGACGAGGAGAAGCGGAAUCGUUUCUUAACCUGACGAGGAUUCUAAAAUGGUUUGUUACAGCUUUCACGUCCGGGGUUAUUUUGUAUUUUACCCUUACUUUUUCCAUUUAUUUACAAGCGUGUACCCCACUUUUCCCUAUCCUACGGCCUAUACGGCUACGUGUCUCCUUCGCGUGUCUUCCCUCGUUUCGAAUUUUUUUUUAAAGUGAAAAUAAUUAAAUAUUCGAAUAUUUUUUAAUAAAGAUAGUUUUUUUUUUGUCGAACAGUAAAGUUAGUUUGUUAUCCACUUUCCCAUGCCCAACUAGCUAAGCUAAUUAUAAAAUUUAAAUUAUCAGUAAUUCUUGGUUCUUAAAAUAACACUAAAGUUUUGAGGUUUAAUGGAUGUGCAUGUUAAUGAAUGUUGGGCCGCAACAUUUGUAAUAUAAACCAACUAAAUUACAGUUAUUAUAUUGUGAAACUACAUCUCUGGACGGAACCUCUACUUGCAAAAUCUUUCUCAUAAUAUAUCAAUACGCGAUUUCUUCAAGAACUUGGAGUGUCUUUUGGUCCUAACCACAUGUCAAAAAUACAAAUAUAGAGGCUCUAAUGAACGCAGAGAAAAUAGACUCUGUAUACAAAUAUAGAGGCUCUAAGACCAUCUCCAAUGGCUUACUCUAUUUUUUACUCUAAAAUAGAGUGACUCUAUAAUAGAGUUUGAUUUUGCUCCAAUGGUACUCUAUUUUAGAGUAGAAAAUAGAGUGAUGAACAAAGAAAAAACAAAUUACUCUAUAUUUGGAGUAAACCAAUGGCUUACUCUAUUAUAGAGUGAUAAAUAGAGUAUCAUUGGAGCAUUUUUUAUUCUAAACUCUAUUUUAGAGUGAAAAAUAGAGUGGGGUUGGAGAUGCUCUAAUGAACGCAGAGAAAAUAGACUCGGUAUGCAAAUAUUUGGUGUUUUUUAAGGAACUCACCCAUUCUAGAUGUUGUGCAUGCAUUACCCGAGUAUAUGCUGCCCAUUACCUAUCGAGGUCGAAAAUGAAAACAUCACACGCUACUAUGUUACUAUCAUCUUUUUGGACGAAGCAAUUUUGAAAUAAACCUUUGUGACAGUCUCUAGAAACAUUCCUGGUCUUACUGGUAACGGCUUUCUUCCUGUAACGCUUCCCUGGAUCGAACCAAGUAGGCCAAGUAAGACAGAAAUAAAGGCUUGUUAUCUUUUCUUCAGUGCCUACUAAAAGAAUCUUUUCGUUAAUAAAAAUGUGUUAGCUGAUCAUACUUACCCUUCCAUUUAAUCCACUUUGUCUUCUUCCUUGGGUUGAAGAAUCUUCUCUAUUGCUAAGAUCAUCUGCACCUUCAUCUUUUCCUUGCAUGACGUUCUGGGUCAUUUGCUGCACACUCUUUCCAGGUUUGAGAGCUACCAAUUUGGUUAGGAAAUUUACCUGUUUUAAUGACAAUGCAGCAAGUUCAUAAACAUGGUGUGAUGGACACAAUAGUAACACCUCUGAUUCAGGCAGAGUGGAGAAACCACGGUCGUUUCUCUCAUCAAGUAUACCUCCUCCCAUCAUGUUCCGUGAAACAAGCCUCGCUAGUAGUAUUCGAUCAGGAACAACUGGCCUUGUUUCCAUAGUCUGCAAAAAUUCCUCAGACUUAUACAUGUGAUCUCGAAACAAACAUAUAUACCAAACUAAACACAAUACUGUACCUCUAACAAAUCACCAGCUUGAUUAGCUAUGUCAUUCAGAUUUCCUCCGGGUAAAUGAAGUUUAUUACCGUCCUUACUUUCAAAAGCCCCACCACCUGCAGCUACUCUACGCAGCAGCUCUUGUCUCCUUUAACAUAACAACAGCAUUUAAAUCCAGUGAACAUAUGUAAGAGACUGCUACAUUACAUAGCAAAGCAAUCCGAGUUACAAAACACAGGUCUCUCACUCCUGGUUUACCUUAUCGUCUUGGUUUUUGUCAGCAAGUUGAAUCAUGUAAUCAAGAGCCAUCAUAAACCCCUGACUCCAUUAGAUCAACCCUUUUCCCUAUAAACUCCUUGUGCAGCCAAUUCCACAGCAACGUUUUCAGAUGCCUCAUUCAUCUUCAUAUCUUGCAACUACACAAAAGGGCACAUUAACAUAGCAAGUAACAAAUCUAUGCAUCAUACACGAUUCUGUGAAGAGUUCCAUAUGCAGAUAAGUUAUUCGACGAAAUGCCAAGCUUAUGAAACAAAAAGCAAAGCUGGUAUGAAAACUACAUCAACGCCGUCUGUGGGGAUCGAACCCACGGCCACGGGAUUAAAAGUCACGCGCUCUACCACUGAGCUAAGACGGCUGACUUGACAUUGAGUGAUUUCAAAUAUUUGAAAAUACGUCAAGAAUAAUAAAUGAUUGGUUAUAAAUACAUGUUUGAUACACAAAAUCAGAUUUCAGUCAUGGAAAUCUUCAGAGCUGAAUAUCAGCAAAAAUAUGGAAGAAGCAUGGAGGGGUCCAAAUGACGUAAUGGUGUUUUUUCUUUUGGUAAAAAAAAAAUGUUUUAUCAUUCUUAUUAUAUAAGUUCAUUGCCUCACUUAUAAAAGCAGAGUGACAUAUUAGUAAUGAAAUAUAAAUGAGAUCUCAAUAUAAAUAUCCUUAAAUAAUUUGUUAAUUUUGAUUAACUCAUAAGAUGGAAACACAUGUGUUAAUGUUGGAUAACUAAAGUAGUUUAGACUUUAGACAGAUGAGGAUUCUGAGCUUUUCAAGCAGGAAGCUGCCACUCUCAUCAUUUUCAGAAGUUGAUAGUUUUGGGAUAGUAGCUGUAGAGGCUUGAAGAUCGCACAUGCUGUUUUGUUAUCUAUGAUGUAGAGAUUAACGAGUCAUCCAUCAAGGCAUCAAUAUACAUAUGUUAUGCUGUAAAAUAUAGCAUUUGUAGUAGAAUAUUAUUCUCAAGUUGUAGCUUGACUAUGGUUGAUGGAAGAACUCGGUGAUAUAUGACAUCAAAUCAUGUUUGUACUAAUAGCUAACAAUAUUAGUGUAGUGAUUCUAGCUGAAAGACAUCUCAAUAGCAGCAGAGACACUAAGUAAGACGGCGUAACCACUCAACUUCAGUCAUGUCAUGAUCCGUUUACAAAAACGCUGUUUCGACGCCGUUUUAGUCUUUUGGAUGUUUAAAUAAAACCAAACGAUACAAGCAAGGCGUUGAUUACAAUUUACAAACAUCCACCAUGGUUUCCAUCUACGUUCAAUCACCAACCUUUCUGAACUCCCCAUUUUCAUCUCCCGCGUCCCGUAGGCUCCCACGUGGAGCUUCUUCUCCUCAGUCGCUUCGCGUCACUGCUUCUCGCAGCUACUCCUUCGAUGUAGUCGUCGUUGGUGGUGGGAUCAUCGGGUUGACCAUUGCCCGUCAGUUCCUUACCGGGUCGGAUCUAUCCGUCGCCGUUGUUGAUAAGGCCGUUCCUUGCUCUGGAGCCACCGGUGCUGGUAAAGUUUGAACCUUUUACUUAUUUUAAGCCAAAAGAGUUGACUUUAAUAUGAAAGUUGUGGUCUUUUUUUUGGGGGUUCAGGACAGGGAUAUAUAUGGAUGACUCACAAGAAGCCAGGUAGUGAUAUAUGGGACUUGGCUAUGAGGAGCCAUCACCUCUGGCACGAGCUUGCAGAUAGCUUAACUGAUCAAGGUCUUGAUCCUCAAGAGAUGCUUGGUUGGAAAAAGACAGGUCUUUUCUCACUCACUCACUCACUCACUCACUCCGGUCUGUUUAGAUUUUGGUUGACUUUUAUAAGGUGGCUUUUAGCUAAAUCAAUGUUCAAUAAAUCAUUAGGUGCUUAAACGUUUUACAGAGGAUUAUUUUUUAGGUGGGUGCCUAGAUUGAUUUUUUGAACACCUAUACAGAAUUUUCGAAAAAUCGGGUUAGAAAAGUUGUUUAAUUUAGAUCCCAUUUACCGCCUAAACACUACCUAGACCUAUUCUUAGAACACUGAGCUAAAUAGUUUCUCGGUUUAGCCAAUUGAGUUAGUUACGCCUUUUUGUUAGGUUCUUGUUGACAAUGAUAUUUUCAUCUUGCUAUCUACAUGGUGUAUGUACCAUUCAGUAUGUUAUUUUUUAUUGCCAUCUGCAGGAAGCUUGCUCGUUGGAAAGACCUCUCAGGAAUGUGUUGCUCUGAAGCAAAAGGUGAAUGAGUUAAGUGAAGGUGGGUUGAGAGCUGAGUAUUUGUCUAGCGCUGAUUUGUUUCUAAAGGAGCCUGCAAUCCUUGUGGAUGAUGAGACUGGUGCUGCGUUUCUUCCUGAUGAUUCGCAGUUGGAUGCUCAUCGUGCGGUUGCUUAUAUCGAGAAGGUUGGUUGGGCUUCAUGAGUAGUUGAAUGUCUCAUCUGACUCUUUUUCUUUGCGGCUUUCUUAGCUUUUAUUUUACUCUUUCAGGGUAACAGAGAGUUUGCAACAGAAGGACGAUAUGCAGAGUUCUAUCAUGAACCAGUUACAGGCUUAAUAAGGUUUGCUAAUCUUUUGUACACGAUUAAACUCAGAAAGAAGUUGUCUCUGUAAAUCUUGAAUGUGCAUUGUUCUUGUGCUGAAGUUUUUAUUAGUAUGUUAAUUGUAUCAUCUACUCAGGUCUGAUGGGAGUAGCAAGGAGGUUACAGGUGUUCAGACUUUGAAACGUAACUUGUAUGGUAAGAAGGCUACUAUAGUAGCUGCUGGUUGCUGGAGUGGAUCUCUGAUGCAUGACUUGCUUAAAAACAGCAACAUCUCGGUGGAUGUUCCUGUGAAGCCAAGAAAGGUUUAACUUUCCUCUCACUGCUAAUUUUUUGCAUUUUUAUUUACAUUUUGAGGAUAGUAUUGUUUUACGAGAAACAAGCAUUAUCUUUAUUUGUAGAGUUAAUCAUCUGCAAGCUUCCAGAAGAUGUUAAGACUCCUGAAAUGGACUGUUUCUGUAUUUUUAAAUUACAAUAUCCAACUUUAUUUUCCUUGCAGGGGCAUCUGCUUGUGGUAGAGAAUUUUGAUUGGUUCCAUUUAAAUCAUGGGAUAAUGGAGGCAGGUUAUGCGGAUCAUCAAAGUGCUUCAGCUCCAGGUGUUGAGGAACGGAUGCUAUCUAUUUCCAUGACAGCCACAAUGGACACAACAGGAAACCUUGUUCUCGGUAACGUUUUCCAUCCACCUCUUAAACUCCUGAACCAGUCAGGCACCAUAUGUAUCUGUCCUCUUCAUUUAGCCAUCUUUAACCUUCAGGGAGCAGCCGUGAGUUCGUCGGGUUCGACACUGAAGCUGAUGAGACUAUCAUCCGGUGCAUAUGGGAGCGUGCAGCAGAGUUCUUCCCCACGUUAAGAGAUAUUUCUCUUGAAGAUUUCAUCCGUAACAGGAAAGUGAGAGUCGGUUUACGCCCAUACAGUAAGAUUCUAAUUGCUCCAUGAAAUGCUUCAAACCCGUCCUUUGGAAUGUAUCAUAGAACCUGAACUUGUUGUUUAACUGAUCAUAGUGCCUGAUGGAAAGCCAAUGAUAGGAUCUGUUCCCGGAUUACAAAAUCUUUACUUGGCAGCUGGACAUGAAGGAGGUGGACUUUCCAUGGUAAGUCAGAACUCAUCCUAAUGUUCUAUCAACAAUUCAAGAACCAGAUGGUGAUUCUUGGUUUCUUGAAAUCUUAUUAGGCUCUAGGAACAGCUGAAAUGGUGUCAGACAUUGUAUUGGGGAAACCAUCGAAGGUAGAUGUUUCAGCGUUUCAGGUUAAAGGACGUUGUUGCUGAGGAACUAGAUGCAGUUCAGUUUUUAGUUACAAAGGGAAUCAAUCAGUCCUGCAUUGUUGUUGAUCUGUUUUGGAUUCCCAAAAGGGAACAAAUCUGAAUGUUUCAAGAAAUAAUAAAAGAUUAACACAAAAUGUUGAAAUCAUUAUUAUGUGGUUAUCUUGGGUUAUUUUUUCUUUUAUUAUUUUGUCAUUGAAGUUAAUUAUUGACCAUGAUUUCUAAAAUCUGAUGUAAUUAAGAAACAUAUUAAAUCUCUUCCAAAGACCAAAUUAAAUUCCCUGAAUACUGCAUAUCCAGUCAAUGGUCUCAUGUUUCUUUGGUAUUUUUAGAUUUUUACUAAAAUUAUCAAAUACAUAACAGAAAAAUCUAACAGUUUUGGUACCUACUUGAGAAAUAUAUAUUUAUAUUCAUUGUGUAUCUGCAUAAGAUAAAUUUGUAGUCAUCAAUGGGUUCAUAUGUCCUUGUAUGGCAUAAAACUAUAAGUUACAUAUGUAUAGAAUGAAGAUGAACAUUACAAAUAUAAUCCGAAAUGUUUAGCAAUACAUAUUUCAAACCUCUUUUGUUUCUUCUUUAUCUGUUUGUUAACCAAACUAAUGGUUUACCUGUGGAAACAAUCUUUAAAUUUCAAGGUCCUUUGCCUCCUAUACUUCCCCAUGAGGUACAUUUCGGCAAAGGGACCAUAGACUUGGGAGGUCUUGAGGUUAAACAAGUCUCCAUCUCCAACACAACAGCAAAGAGAGUAUGGAGAACAUAUGAAGGAGGACGAGACAGCAUGGGAUUCAGCAUCUUUGAACCUAUAAAUCUCCCUGCUAACUUCUUCAAAAUUGGCUUCUACGCACAACCAAACAACCAGAAGCUUUUUGGUUGGAUCCUUGUUGCAAGAGACGUGUCUGGAAGAAGCUUAAGACCACCAGUGGACUACAUUGAAGUCUGGAACACUGCAUCGCUGGAUAUCAAACAAGACGGACAUGCAUAUUUUUGGCAGCCGGUAUGUCUCAAAGGGUAUAAACCGGUUGGUGUGAUUGUCACUACUUCCUCUCAAAAGCCUCCUAUGAAAAAAAAAUCUAUAAGCUGUGUUCGGUCAGAGCUGACAGAACAGAGUGAAGCUGAUACGUUAGUAUGGGGUUUUAAAGGAGUUAGCGUUGUUAAUUUGAGACCGGUCCAAAGAGGAACACAAGCAACAGGUGUGUACACAGGAACAUUCAGUUUUCAACAACUAAACUCAUCUCCUCUUCCUUAUUUAUUCUGUUUGAAGAACACCAAACUCAACAUGUCCUCUAACAUUCCAAGCAAAGCUCAAACCAGAGCUUUGUUCAAAACCUAUUCUCCUUUGAUAUAUUUCCAUCCAAAAGAAAAUUUUCUACCUUCUUCGGUCCAUUGGUUCUUCGCCAACGGUGCCUUGUUAUACAAGAAAGGAAACGAAUCAAACCCUAUACCUAUACAACCAAACGGUACAAAUCUUCCGCAAGGCGGUUCAAACGAUAACUUAUUCUGGUUAGACUUUCCACUCGAUAAGACCGCCAAGGAGAAGGUUCAGAGAGGAGACUUAAGAAACACCAAAGUGUAUCUAAACAUCAAACCAAUGUUCGGAGGGACCUUCACCGACAUCGCCGUAUGGAUAUUCUGUCCUUUCAACGGAAACGCACACCUCAAGUUUCUAUUCAUCAAGAGCCUUUCUUUAGGUCAAAUAGGCGAACAUGUCGGAGACUGGGAGCACGUUACUUUACGCAUCAGUAACUUCAACGGCAAGUUAUGGAGAGUCUACUUCUCUCAGCACAGUGGAGGUACGUUGGUGGACGCAUGCGAUCUAGAGUACGUUGAAGGUGCGAACAAACCGGUUAUAUACUCGUCGCUUCACGGUCACGCAAUGUUUUCGAAACCUGGACUUGUGUUGCAAGGCAAAAGAAAGUAUGGUAUAAGAAACGAUAUGGCGAGGAGUGACAAGUGGUUAGACUGUGGUAAGGGAUAUGAGGUGAUUGGAGGGCCUUGGGGCGUGGUUGAGCCGGCUUGGACGAGCUAUUUUAGGAAAUGGGGACCAAGGGUUGGUUACAAGAUUGAUAAGUCAAUUAAAUCAUUUGCUAAGAAGAUUUUACCCAUGUUUGUUAGGAAACGGUUACGAAAUAUUAUUCGGAAGAUACCUUAUGAAAUAAUUGGUGAAGAUGGUCCUACGGGUCCUAAAGCCAAGUUGACUUGGACUGGUGAUGAUAAGUAUUCUUAAAUUGUUUUAUGGUAGGUUCUUGCACUAUUCACUAAAAUAUUUACUGUAUGGUUCUCAACGAAUAUUGUAUUCUGCUGGUUCAAUACCCAAAUUAAGUAAGGCCAAGCCAGUCCAAACCGAUCGUGUUCAUCUAGAAAUUGUAUGUGUUGUUCAUAUACGUCAUCAAGUGACAAUGGAAAAUAAGAUAAGGCUAACCAAAGCCCAGGCCCAUAAAUAACACCCAGGUGAUCUGGAGUUUAACAUAUUAUGCAAGUACCAAGGGGAAGUCUAUAGGCGUUAGUUCUCUCGUUACUCGGUCUGUAAAGUAGCUUCAUUGUCCAUGAUUAGAUCUUGAAUCAAUUUUAUUAACAUGUGUGCAUAUAUCACUUAAAUUUAGUGAUUAACCUUUCCUUUCUUCUGCUGUGCCACCUUAUACGUACACAAAUAGCUGACAUGUUUUUUAGAAGUCAAUACGUGUAAUAAUUGUGUAAUUGUAAACCAACCAUGUGCCCAUAUAGAGAUCACUGAAAAGAUCUCGAAGACGAGUUGAAUUGGUUAAUAUUCAAUUUAGCAAACGAAGAAAUUGCACCAAAACAUUAAUGGUCUUGGGACAGAGUGCGUUUGCAUAACGUCAAUAGAAAAAAGAGAUUUGGCAGUAUAUAAGGGCCUGGAUCAUCAUGAAGUUUAUCAGAUCCAGGCGAGUGAUACUGCCGAUUUAUAUUUCGCAAGGUUUAUUAUUAAUAAAUUGACUGGAUCAUGAUAGUAUUCAAUCCAACCAAAGAAGCUGAACUUGCUUUUCUUUCCGACAAAAAAAACAAUUCUCAACCAAAAAGGUAAAAACCCAAUGAAGAUAGGAGCAAUUGAAUAGCAUAACAUAGAAGAAACGAAAUCGAAAGCUUCACAAGUUUGGAGUAGCUAAAGGAGAGAGAUGUGUGGCCGUUGUUGGAGAUGAGAAAGAGGAGAGAGUAUAUAUUGGGAAUUAGAAGGGUAUAGAUUAGGGUUUUUUUUUUCUUUCUCCAGAAAGGCCUGCUAAUUUUGUCAGCUCAGCCCAAAAGAAAGCCCAAUUUUAAUGCACACUGGGAACCAAAACCAGUUCGAAGACACUGCCGACCAGUCUUUUGAAACUCGAUAUUGACCCGCAGUUAGAACCGGUAAACUCGGAGACCUAGAAUAUAAUCCGGUUUGAAUUUUAAGAAAAAUACAUUAUUUAAAAAUUUGGUAAAACCUACAAAAAACCAUUAAAACCCAU
Molecule: long non-coding RNA, 11858 nt
Filed under: Brassica rapa (field mustard)
Lineage: Eukaryota; Viridiplantae; Streptophyta; Magnoliopsida; Brassicales; Brassicaceae
Description: long non-coding RNA (BRAP_LNC004648)
Source: RNAcentral